GACGGGGGAUGAAAGCGUUAUCCGGAAUCACUGGGCGUAAAGCGUCUGUAGGUGGUGAUGCAAGUCACUGGUGCAAAACUCUGGCUCAACCGGAGGAAAGCCAGUGAAACUGCAUGACUAGAGUGUGGGAGAGGUAGAAGGAAUUCGCUGAGUAGCGGUGAAAUGCGUAGAUACAGGGAAGAACACCGGAGGCGAAAGCGUUCUACUGGAACACAACUGACACUGAGAGACGAAAGCUACGGGAGCGAAUGGG
Molecule: ribosomal RNA, 253 nt
Filed under: uncultured bacterium
Lineage: Bacteria
Description: partial 16S ribosomal RNA
Rfam family: Bacterial small subunit ribosomal RNA
Source: RNAcentral